Molecule: ribosomal RNA, 429 nt
Filed under: uncultured bacterium
Lineage: Bacteria
Description: bacterial SSU rRNA
Rfam family: Bacterial small subunit ribosomal RNA
Source: RNAcentral
UCGAGGAUCAUUCGCAAUGGGCGCAAGCCUGACGGUGCGACGCCGCGUGUAGGAUGAAGGCCUUCGGGUCGUAAACUACUGUCAUGAGGGAGCAACGGUUCUGGUGUUAACACCACCGGGAAGUGGUAGUACCUCAGGAGGAAGCCACGGCUAACUCUGUGCCAGCAGCCGCGGUAAUACAGAGGCGGCAAGCGUUGUUCGGAUUUACUGGGCGUAAAGGGUGCGUAGGCGGUUCCGUGUGUCGGAUGUGAAAUUUCACUGCUUAACGGUGGAACUGCAUCCGAAACUACGGGGCUAGAGUACAGGAGAGGAGAGCGGAAUUCUCGGUGUAGCGGUGAAAUGCGUAGAUAUCGAGAGGAACACCGGUGGCGAAGGCGGCUCUCUGGACUGAUACUGACGCUGAGGCACGAAAGCUGGGGGAGCAAACAG